Molecule: non-coding RNA, 9995 nt
Organism: Nothobranchius furzeri (turquoise killifish)
Lineage: Eukaryota; Metazoa; Chordata; Actinopteri; Cyprinodontiformes; Nothobranchiidae
Source: RefSeq, a predicted model, not a curated record
GCUGAGGGUGGGGCUUUGAGGGUGGGAACAAAUCAUGGAACAAAUGAACCAAUGUAGCUACUAGCUAGCUGAGCUAUCCCCAAAGCUAGACGAAACUAGGGCAGCUGACCUGCGUGACUGCCUGGGUUAUUGUGGUACACUGAUGAUUUUCGUGUUUUCGUUGUAUCCAUGUUCAUAUGCAUGACCUAGCUCAGAUGUUUUUUGUGUGAUUUUAUUGUGCAUUGUGACUUCCAGUUGAUUUAACUUUUUAGCAUUUUUUAUCUCAGAUGUAUUUCAUUAGUUGUUUGCUUUGCUCGUCUAUUUCCCUGAUUGUACAGCAUUUUAGUGGAUUUUAUUGUGUAUAAAGAGCUCUCUAUAUAAAUCUGGAUAGGAUUGGAUGCUGUAAGACACACCUGGACAUGCAUGGGCAAAAAACAUAAUCAGUCCCAAUGGCUGAUAGAAAUGUUCUAUUGUGAGUUUUAAAGAACAUUUCGUAAAGGGAUGAAAAAAUAAAGUGGGAAUUCAAUUAUUUAAGUUCAAAUUUUAAAAAUAAACAAAUCACAGACUGAGAGCAUAACGAAUGUCUACAUUAGAAGUCGUGAUAACUUGUUAUUUUCCAUCUUGAAUCCUAAAAGGUCAGAAAUGUUUUUAAUUGAAGUAAUGACCUGAAAAGUUCUACAUUCUUGAGCUUUUAAUGAGAUCAGUCAAUAAAAACAACAAAAUACACAAAAGGAUAAACCUGUUAAAGUGGCAGUAAACAUUUUUUUUUCUCUCUUGGGUGUCAUUGAUGGUUCAGAGUAAGAAGCUGCUCCUUCAGUCAGGACUGAGUUCGUUUUGCCGUUUGUGAAGGAACAGCUCUCGGGAGACAACAGGAAGUGAUGGGUUGUUUGUUUUUUCAGCACCAUUAGAUGGCAGUUAUUUCAGUCUGUGUGGGCGGGGAGCUCAGAUGUGUAAACUGAGAAGAGGAAAACCACAUUACAGGCUCAUUAGCUGAUUCUGGCGUGGAGACCCAGGAUGGAGUUCUUGGUUUUUGUUGCCACAUGGGGCUGUUGUUACACAGCAGGGGCAACAGGGAACACCACUGUUCCUCAACACACUGAAAGGCUGAUGUGAUGCUGCAGUUUCAGACUGUUUUAGGGUUCAUGUUGGAUUUGUAGAGCUUGUUGUGAAUUUGGUUUGUGACCAUCUAAGAUCUCUUUUAUUCAGCAUUUCUUUUUGAGACUUGAGUGGAGAAUUACAAAAGAAAAACCACCAAUUAACCCUCGUCUGGAUCACAAUUUUAAAGGGAGUGGAGUCUCCCUCUUAUCCUGGAGGCUGUGUUAGCUAGAGGCUCCCAGUCAGACCUCAGAGUGAUUAACACACCCUGAUUAAGGAGGACCUCAGCAAACAGGACAUGGGAUAGGAAAACAAGGGCACCCUUCAGGAACAAGGCUCAGGUGGGAGAUUAUUAAAAAAAAAUCCUCUCCAAGCACAAAGCCGCUGUAGGGACCCGAGACAAGAGACAAUAAUAUAAAGAAAAAACACUCAGUGCUCCCUUUAACUAAAGCUCAUACACACGUCACCCAGAAGUGAGUAAACCCCCCGACAAACUCCUACAGCGGAUACUCUAAAAGAAACUAGCCUCCCAGAGACAGCACUGUGCUUAACGCUAACCACCCGACUCAAACAAGUUUACUUCCUUCCCCCUCUGGAGAAAGACGAUUAGUAAUAAGAUAAACCAGCAAACGGUUUAAUAAAAGAACUAGAAAAGAUUUAAUAAAAGAACUGGAAAAACAGUAGCAGGCUAAGGUCUGUGAACAAAACACGCAUUGUUAGUCCUAUUCUAACGAAACAUAAAAAUGCUGUGAAUGUUAUAAACCAGUACCUCAUCGGCCGACCGCUUGCCAAUGAAAAUUCCGGCUGUUCACCCCUCAGUCCUGCUCACACUUCAUAAAGAGGAACCGAUUAAAAAUAUAACCGUUAACUAAACUGAAGCAAAGCCAGGUCACUCACCACUUAGCCGCACCCACGUCCGCACCCAAAGCGAAGCAUUCAGCUUUUGCGGCUAGACCCCAGCUGCCCUAAUUAUAGCAGCCCUCUGAUUACACACCUGGCCUCCCCUGUGUCAGCGGCAUGACGGGUAUAACCAGAAUAACUUCCAGGAACUCAGGUGACCCGGUUACAUCAAGGUUCUGGAGUGGCCUAGCCAGUCUACAGACAUAAAUCCAAUAGAACAUUUUUAGAGGGAGCUGAAACUAUGUUGCUCAGGAGCAGCCCCAAAACCUGACAGAUCUAGAGGAGACCAGUGUGGAGGGGUGGGCCAAAACCUCUGUUGCGGUGUGUCUAAACCUGGUCAAGACCUACCGGAAACGUUAGAUCUCUGUAAUUGCAAACAAAGGCUUCUGUACCAGAUAUUAACAGAUUUUCUCAGGUGUUCGAGUACUUGUGCAGCAGUGCAAAACAAAUAAAUCACACAAUGUGAUUGCUUGCAAAAAAAAAAAAAAAAGAAUAAAUUAUAUGGUGACUGUCUCAGCAGGAAUGUACCUACUAUAUGAAUUUCUAAGUGGGAGAACUUGCAAAAAUGGCAGGGUGCUCAAUUACUUAUGUUCCUCACGGUACAUCUCCAUUAUUUUGUUGUAUGAUAAAACAUUUUUGUUUUAUUUUGACCAUGUCACCAGUGCACCAGCAUUUUGCUGAGGUAAUUAUUAAUUACCCUAUGUAUUAUAAAUAACAAAUAUAUGUGAUGUAAGAUGCUGCUGGUGCACCAAACACACACAACCUAACUGUUCAUGUUUGAGAUUUGCAUCUUAAACUGACCUUUUAAAAGCAUCAGAGAUUUGUUUUGUUUCAGAUUGUGUGUUCAUAAGCAGCUGAUUGCUGGUAUGUCUAUUUUUUCCGCAGCACAUUUAUCAAAUCAGAAACUUAUGAAACAAUCGUGAUGUUCUGACAGAUUAUCUGAUGCCUUCUACUGAUGUAUUUUUUGUCUCUGUUAAAACGAUAAACAUGUUUUUCAGUGGAGAUAUAACUUUUAUCAGAGCUAUGUAAAGACCUCAACCACCAGGCUGAAGGACUCUGCUCCCUCUCUACCCAUCCAGCCCUCUAUCUACCUAGCCACCACAGCUGCGUCGGGGCACACUGACAGAGGUGAGUCUGCUGUACACAGAUGCCACCGGUCUCUCUGAACACCACCAGCAGGCAAGGUGGGUUAAGUGUCUUGCCAAAAAACAUGACAGCGGCAUACUGAGCAGGGCUCGUUCUUGCAACCUUCAGACUACGGGGCGAGCUCUUAAAGAGCAAGUAACGUCUAAAUUAACUUUUUUUUGCUGAUGAACUGUAUAAAUGAGUGUCUAAUAGUGUUUUAAAUGUGUGCAUUCUUUAUUUUAGCAUUUUGGUGCAUUUUCUUUAAAAAUUAAAAAUUCUGCCUAAAUACCACAGUAUAGCGCCACCUUCAGCUUAAAAUAUAGAAUUUGACUCAUUUUGAAUCAAUUUUAGCCAAUGGCUAAAGAGUAAGAUACUAUGUAAACCAGUAGAGUACUACGUAGCAGCUCUGUGUCAAAGUUAUAAAAGGAUCGAGCGUCUCGGCCACGCCUUGUGGCGAGUUGGGAGUUGGAUUUGCAAGCGAGCGUAGGAGGUUAGUGGUAGUUCAGCCUUAGCAUAUAGCGUUAGCAUAUCCUAGUCUUUAGCAUAGCUUUUAGUGUUAUACAUACUUAUUUAGUGUUAGUUUGGCUGUUGGAUAUUGUAGUUUAGUUAGCGUUUGGCUGUUAGUGUAAUUGGGAAAGUAGUUUGGGUUUAGUGCUCCAUAUUGUGUUAGUAUGGUGAGUAGGUGUAGUGUAGUAUGGUUGCAGUGGCUCUGUGGACAUUUUACCCUCGAUUCUGCACGUCUCCGUUUGAAGAGGGAGGCUGUGCCCACCGUGGCUCUUCCGCGAUUUAGAUGCAGCCCACCGACUCUGCUCCCCCACCACGGCGGGCUCCAGUCUGAGGUGAGUACGCUAAAUAAACGUUUUAACAUCUUCUAAAGACAAUUCCCUACCUAAAUGCAAAGUCUGAGAGACGUGGUUCACUUCCUUUAGCUAGUCAGUCGGCAGUUCUGCAACAGUGGCUCUAACUGACGCAGCACUAGUUGACACACAGCAUUACAGUGUGAAAUCCAGCUUGUGACCCGGUUCUGUAAGGAACUCCGUUCAGGAGGUCACAUUUCAGGCUCUCCACAUCAUAUGUGACUGACUUUUACGUUAUAACAACGAUCACACACUAGGAAUGUUAUAAAGCGCCUUUAUAGGACAGUUUCUUUUGUAUAUUAUCUGACUUUAUAAACUCCCAACAACAAUGUGCUUCUAUUUUUUUUUUCAGGCUAAAUCUACCCAAGACACUGGCUGUCAGACUGAUUUAGCUGCAAGAAUGUACUUGUCCAGGCUGACGUGAAGCCUUACCCGUAGCAAAGCCAGCCAGAAUGGAGUUCACAGCCGCAGUGUGUCUGGUGACCCACAGGGACCAUGAUGGAAAUUCAUCUUCCAAAAAGUCCCAGAGCAGCGUCCACACCCCUGAAAAGACCAAGAUGUGAGGUGUCUGCUGUUGAUUCCAGCUUCCACCUCAGUGACAGUGCAAGCUCAGUGAACUGUUCAAGGACACUCAGCAAAAUAUGGACUCUACACCAUGAGGAAGGCACACGUUAAUACUUAUAAGAGCACAUAAGCAUGAGGAUGUCCUCACACACCUGUAACCUAUCAGCUCAUCUGGCAGAAUAGAGAGAGAAGAGACAACACCACAUCUCCUGUUCCUGGUAAGCCUUCAGCCAUCCUUCGAUGACUGAGAACCUCCAUCAGCUCUGUCUCUUGUCUGCCUACUAUUAUUAUAAUAAAUAUUGUGUUUGACAAGUUUUUUGUGCUGCCAAAUAUCUCAUAUAGAUUCCAGUUUUGAUAUUUUCAUGGAUAUUUAUAAAUUACAUUAAUUAUCACAUUUUUGUUGCAUGUUUAACUAGCUCUAUUGUGAUGAAUUAAACUAGCACAUCUCCGUUAAAAGCUCGUUUUAAUUUCAAGCAUGUUUAAGUAUUUAUGGACAUGAACAAAAACAGGAAAUAUAUAAAUUGAGAUUUAUUUAAUUAAUAUAACAAAUAAGGGGGAAAGAGUCAUUGAAAGGCACAUUCUUCUGGAAGCUCCUGAUCCUGACGACACCAGAGACCAGCUGCUGACACCAGAGGACCUAGAACCAAGAGAGCAGCUGUUAUCAGUAAAUAAAUAAAUCAGGGCAGUUUUAGUGGGCUGAACACAUUACAGAAUAAUUUUCUCAUGGGGUAUUUUCAUAACUUUCUAUGCAGCAGACUGUAACUUGAGCCCAGGGCUACCGGAGAGCUGCUAUCCAGCACGUUUCAGUGGAUUUUCCUGCUUUAACAGGUUAGAUUAGCUGUUAAGCAGCUCAGCUAUUUGUUGCUGAUUAAAACCAGGUGUGUUGAAGCAGAUAAACCUCUAAAACAUGCUGAAUACUAGCUUUUUAGGGCCGUGGAGCCAAACCCUGCAGCUAAUCCAAUGCUAUGGCUAACGGCUACUUACCAUUCAGAGCUGGUUCUGUUGGGUCGGUUCCGCUAGUUUCAGGCAACUCACAAGCUCAAAACAAUAAGGCUCAGGUCCGCUUGUCUCCUCCAAAUAGACUUGGUCCCUUUCUUCUCGAGUGUCUGGGUAAGGAGGGGGAGAAACGUCCUCCACUUCUAAUAACUGCUCAGAGUGAAGGGAGCUAGCUUCAUCUAGUUAGCCAUCGUCUUCGUCACUGCCGUGGCUCCGCCCUCCCGGUCCUCCAGGCAACGCCUACUAAUGUUGCAGUUUUUAAAAUUGAUACGUGGGUGGAGAAGGACUCCGAGGCUCACUUGACCCGCUCUUUAAAUUCUGUACCACCGUCACUGUUGUCAAAACAAACAAGUAAUGAAUCAAUGGACAAGAAUAAUCUGCUUCUUUCUUUAUUUAUGCUUUUAAAUUUUAUUUUUUUACAAAAACACAAUAAGUAGUUUAAUUUUUACAACCAGACUGAAAACUGAGUGAUUUUGAUUCAUGCUGACUAAACGUGAGACCACAGAUGGUGGCAACAUAAUGGACUGGAAGUAAAAAGGGGAAAUCCUGAAGCUCAGGGUUUAACUGUCCACAUCCUCCUUCUGCUAACCUCCAUCACUUAUCUAUAGAUUCAACAACCAUUCAUGAGGAGGGAUAGUCUGAUUGUCACUGAACCACUUGACAACAUCUUGGUAAUUAAAAAGAACUUGGCUUUGUGAAAUUAUGUAAACAUUAAAAUUUCCCCAGAGACUGAUGUGGAAUGUGCCUGGCUGUGCUCUCAUCAAACCAACCUCGAACAAGGCAGUCAUCAACCAGCACAGCAUGAUUUGGUCUUACAUGUUUCUUCCAGACUCGUGGGGUUUCCCCCUGUGACCUCUGUUACUGGUCUGCUAACAGUCUAACUCUCCAGUCCAUUAUUUUGUUUAAAGCCAAAGGGGUCAGAAACAAAGUGGAACAUCCGUGGACUCCCUGAGUUUCUGCACAAGCUGGUGAAUGGCCUGUAUUUCAUAUAGUGCCUUUUAGAGGCCCAUAACCCCCCAAGGUGCUUUCUAACGCAAUCAGUAAUUCACACAUUCACACCCUGAUGGUGAACUACAACAUAGCCACAGCUGCCCUGGGUUUGACUGACAAAGGGGAGGUUCCCGAACGCUGGCGCCACCAGUACCUCUGACCACCGUCAAAUGCGGGUUAAAUGGCUUGCUCAAGGACAUAAUGACAGCAGCAUGUUGAGCGGGGCUUGAACCUGCAACCUACUGAUUAUGGGGAGGACAUUUAGCUCCUCUGCCACCAUUGCCCCACUAUGACGAGUUAUUCACGGUUUCAAAUCAAUCAAAUCAAAUCAAAGAUACUUUAUUAAUUCCAGAGGGAAAUUAGAAUUUCAGUACACACAAUUCAGAGAUCAGACAUACAUGGAUGGGCAAGUCACAUGACAAGAAUUGGUGACUGUGGUCAUUCGCAACCAGAGUCACGCUACCUUAAUAGAGAUAAGAGGGUAACAUGGGGAAUUCAUUCGGGAGGAGGGACAAAAAGGCACUUCACAGCCACCCUCCCACCAAAACACCUCAAACAGAUAUGUAACAGACUUCAGACAACACAACAUGAGACUCCAAUAGGAAAGGGGGGGGGCUGGGCUGGGAUCCUGUUUCCCCCAGCGAGAGCAGCCAUCUACGCCGCUCAGCCACUGUAGUCACAGGUUGGAGGGAGAUCUUGGGAGAAGCGCAGAGCACAUUGACUCCUGCAGGUGGAUGAUCUAGCCAGGCUGAAGUCCACCAAUCCCAAGGCGGGGUGGGGUGGGGAUGGGGGGGUAGGUCGGGUUUUCACAGCAUCUGUCUGCAUUCCUUCGUGGGGGUUUGUAGCCGCUCAAGGCUGCUAGGGCGUCAGAUUCGGAUAACAAGACUUUGUUUGGGUCAGGCUGUGAUAAUUUUUCUGUCUGCCUUCAGUCUUUAAACUGAUCAUUCCAGUCCUUCAGUGAAGCUAAUUUGGGUUUUUAAACUGGUCCAUACCAUCCGGUGACCCUCUCUGAGAUGACAUCCAUUUUGCGCACUAAUACCAGUAUCGCAGCAAGAACAUUGUCCAGCUUACGAUUCACCUCGAGUAACGUCCCAGUCUGUGAAGUCUCCACACGUACGGUGCUUUACUUGGGUGCAGGCCGCCCUCUAAUCACUCCUGUCUUCCCAAAUUUCCAGAAAAUCAGAUAUCCUCCCACUCCAAUCAGGAGAAAUCCAGUGAUCAUCAGACCGAAUAUCCACACGUCUUCGACAUCCUCAAUGGACAGCUGGGAGAGGCAUAUGAUCUUCCAUUCCCUUCAGGAAUCCAGCAUAUACCCCACCGGGUGUGUCCCCUGUGGGCAUGUGGGAGCUCCGUUCUCAUUGUUGAAAAAAUCUUAUCAAUCGCGUUGAAUGACCAAAUCCAUGGUGAAAAAUAGGGGUUUUCAGAAGAAAUGCAGAGAAGCGCUCUGUGGGCAGACAGGACAAAGAGCCUUGGGAAAAAAGAUAAGGGAGCAAAAAGAGAAGUGUCGGUACUCCGCGAGUGCCAGGAAGAAAGGUUUUAUUUUAUGAAUGUUUUUGGUCCUAAAUAACUUGUCUAAAUGGGGGCUGCAUGGUGGUGCAGUUGGUAUUGGCUGAAUGUCUGUGUGUCCCUAUGAUGGACUAGAGACCUGUCCAUGGCCUCUCUGGCUCUGGCCCGUGUUGACCCUACUGAGGAAAGGUUGUAAAAAUGAGUGAGUGAGAGUAAUGCAUGCAUUUUGUUGCCAUUUUCUGUUGUUCCACAGGAAAAACCAAACAGUACAGGCCUCCUGCUAUAGAACAUAGGUUAAAGGUUAUUAAAGGUCUGCAGUUGGGGAAUACAGAAGACAGAAAUAGCAUGUAAUUAAAAAAGCUGCUGGACAAAAAGCUAGGAAGAAAAAACUCAUACAAACUCAGGUCCAGAUGUACCAACUAUAUGCUGUGCUUUGUCUUUUGCACUUCAUUUGCACCUACUCUAUGCACCUUCUCAGCCUCCAACUGGAUUCCUUUAAAGGUGUGGAACUCUGAAAAAACAUUUUUUAAGUAUUACUUCACUCUUGAGUUGCAGGCUGAGCAUGAAAAUAGUUUCCUACACCUAUCUCCUGCAACAUCUUCUGAUAGAAAUUUGAUGGUGAAAAUGUAGUAUUAGAAAAUCCUGAUAGAUCUGCGUCACACUGUCACUUAUCAUUCAUGAACUCACCCAUCUUGACUCACGACGGGUAAGGCUGUUGUUGGUUUAGCGUCUAGGAAACAGCUGAGAUUGUCUCGAUUAGUAUAUGCUAACCAUUAGCAUUACCAACUCCGUCACAUGGCAGAAGCUUCUCCAGGCUUGUGUUAUUUGUGGAAACAAAACAUCCAUGUUGCAAGUCAGUGGAAGUCACAUCACUGUUAUCCAAUCCAGGGUGAGAUGUCCAAGUGUCAGGAAAUAAGACUCCAAAAUCUGCUGUCUGAAGCUCAGCUCGGAUGUGGUUGACUUUUAUGUCCUAGAAAUGGCGCACCGGUAGCCUAUAUUUUCCCCCUGAGGAUGAAUUACAAGGCAUACUAGACGCCACUGCAAAUGCGUUGAUUAAACAAGCGUUCCACUAAAAAAAUGUUCCAUGAUCACUCGGCUUCUUAAAACAUCAGCUAGCCAUGACAACGCAAUUAUGACAAUGUGUUCACUUGAAGAACAAAUAAAUUAUGUUUUCCUGACAUGCCUACCCUUUUAUUGUGAAAGCAACAAUGCAGUAGCAACUCCCUUCACUCAGUUUCUUUCCUAAGAUGCAAAUAGCUCCAGCCCUCAGCAGGCAGAAUUAUGGGGAGGAUUUGUGAACUUUGUACAUUUCUGUUACAACUGCGAUAAAAGUUUUGGUUAUAUCAAUCCUUCUAAAUGCUCAUAAAAAUAAAUAUUUUAAUAUUAAAUGUAACUUAUGACAUUAUAUUGGAUUAGAUUAAAGAAAUAAUGACUUCUAUUCAGUUGUUAAGCUGUGUUUUAGCCAUCAUGUUACCAGCAACAUUUAACUAUUUGUUCCCCUUCAGUUACAGAUAACAAAGGUUGAUAGAUAUAUAAUGUACCCGACAAAGGGAUUCUUACAGGUGUUGGCUCUGGCUGUAUUGUAACAUAUCAAAAUGUAUUUUUAACAAUUACUUCUCAUUCACACCAUUUAUACAAAUAGAAAAGUGUAAAACAUUGUUUUGAAUGGAUUGUUCAGCCCAGAUUUCAUCAGUAAUAAAUACAUGUAAAGACAAACCUAUGGAAAUUUUAAAGUUAGUAUUGUACAAUGUAAUGAAAAAUCCAAUUGUGGUGCUGAUUACAUCAUACAUGGAUGUAGGUUUGACUUUAGAAGUAGGGGGUACACAACCGGCAGGAGGACCAAAGGGGUGGGGGUAUCUUUACAGCAAGUAGCCUAUACAAAACAUAUUUAUGAAACUACAGCCUAGAGGCUUUUUUAUGUAAUGUCAGGAAUGCAGAACUGUGAAGUACACAGGUGGCAGGAGCAGCCAAUCACACAUUAAU